CAGCAGCCGCGGGAAUACGAAGGGGGCUAGCGUUGUUCGGAUUUACUGGGCGUAAAGCGCACGUAGGCGGAUCGAUCAGUCAGGGGUGAAAUCCCAGAGCUCAACUCUGGAACUGCCUUUGAUACUGUCGAUCUGGAGUAUGGAAGAGGUGAGUGGAAUUCCGAGUGUAGAGGUGAAAUUCGUAGAUAUUCGGAGGAACACCAGUGGCGAAGGCGGCUCACUGGUCCAUUACUGACGCUGAGGUGCGAAAGCGUGGGGAGCAAACAGGAUUAGAUACCCGAGUAGUCCCUGUCUCUUAUAA
RNAcentral lists this ribosomal RNA (301 nucleotides) under uncultured bacterium. RNAcentral's name for it is "partial 16S ribosomal RNA". It matches the Rfam family "Bacterial small subunit ribosomal RNA", at positions 509 to 809 of the family's 1533-position model. The record is from RNAcentral.